CAGCAGGUUUUUGAACUACUUUGAACUGAACCUGUGCCCUUGGAAGCUGGUUUGGAGGAUAUUUUCACCAAGGUGAGAGUGCGAUCAAGCCUUGGAUCAUCUUUAGCUGACUUGUAAGGGCUUUUGGAGACUUAACUUGAGCAGGGUUGAGGCCUAGUUGAACUAAGUCUCGGGACUUCUUUGGGCUGGAUUAAGCCCAGUGAUAGGUGGGUUUGACCUAACCAGAGCAAGUGAAGCUCCCCUAUGUUCUAUUUGUCACUAUAGAAUUGGUUUAGUAGCGCAGUUUUAAG
Molecule: long non-coding RNA, 290 nt
Organism: Ananas comosus (pineapple)
Lineage: Eukaryota; Viridiplantae; Streptophyta; Magnoliopsida; Poales; Bromeliaceae
Exons: 3
Source: RefSeq, a predicted model, not a curated record